GCCCCUAUCGUCUAGUCGAGUGGUUUAGGACAUCUCCUUUUCAAGGAGGAAGCGGGGAUUCGACUUCCCCUGGGGGUG
Molecule: transfer RNA, 78 nt
Filed under: Sciaphila densiflora
Lineage: Eukaryota; Viridiplantae; Streptophyta; Magnoliopsida; Pandanales; Triuridaceae
Description: tRNA-Glu
Rfam family: tRNA
About the family: Transfer RNA (tRNA) molecules are approximately 80 nucleotides in length. Their secondary structure includes four short double-helical elements and three loops (D, anti-codon, and T loops).
Source: RNAcentral